Molecule: long non-coding RNA, 667 nt
Organism: Dermochelys coriacea (leatherback sea turtle)
Lineage: Eukaryota; Metazoa; Chordata; Testudines; Dermochelyidae
Exons: 3
Source: RefSeq, a predicted model, not a curated record
UGUUGCUUUUGCCGGGAACAGAACAGGAAUGGAGUCUUAGAACUUAGGAACAUGAUCUAAGCAGAAGCACUGAGAAUAUGGGCACAGAUGAUCUGAUUCAGUAUGCCACCAUCGGCGAGUUCAGCACAGCCAGGGUGAGUCACGAUGUUGGUUGAAUCUUGAUUGUGAAUUUCAGGUUCAGGAUCUGGGGCAUCCCAGCAAGAAUUUGUGCCAUGAGACACUGUCCAAUGCUGGAGCGCAGCAGGGCUGCCCCCAGCGCUGGGGGUGUGAGCUCGGAUUAGCAUCCCUCUCUCUGCCCUGCUGGGCGUAGGGAGCAGCCACAGAGAUUGUAAUGCAGAAAGGACCCCUGCUCUGCACUCCUGCAAAUUCUCACCCAGCGAUUCCUGCGUCCAGCCCAGAACUUCUGCCACUGCAAUUAUUGCUUUUAACUAUCCAUGAAAAGGACAAGAUUUCUCUCUCCUCCUGCCCAGUUUUCUAGCUCUACCUGCUCCUGCCUCUCUACUGAGAGCUGAUUGAAAUUUUUCAAACAAAAUAAUUUUUUGUAGAAAAGUGAGCUUUUUGUCUGAAAUGAAAAUUUCCAUUAAAAUUGCAGGAUUCUUUUGAAAUUUUCUAUUCUGUAUGCAAAAAUUUGGUGCACAUUUAUAUCAAAAGCAGUCACUAAAAUUGU